GGGUGCGUAGCUCAGUGGUAGAGCACACCCUUCACACGGGUGGGGUCGCAGGUUCAAUCCCUGCCGCGCCCACCA
Molecule: transfer RNA, 75 nt
Filed under: Sphingomonas prati
Lineage: Bacteria; Pseudomonadati; Pseudomonadota; Alphaproteobacteria; Sphingomonadales; Sphingomonadaceae
Description: tRNA-Val
Rfam family: tRNA
About the family: Transfer RNA (tRNA) molecules are approximately 80 nucleotides in length. Their secondary structure includes four short double-helical elements and three loops (D, anti-codon, and T loops). Further hydrogen bonds mediate the characteristic L-shaped molecular structure. tRNAs have two regions of fundamental functional importance: the anti-codon, which is responsible for specific mRNA codon recognition, and the 3' end, to which the tRNAs corresponding amino acid is attached (by aminoacyl-tRNA synthetases). tRNAs cope with the degeneracy of the genetic code in two manners: having more than one tRNA (with a specific anti-codon) for a particular amino acid; and 'wobble' base-pairing, i.e. permitting non-standard base-pairing at the 3rd anti-codon position.
Source: RNAcentral